This 1838-nucleotide long non-coding RNA is filed under the name Homo sapiens (human). RNAcentral's name for it is "HSALNT0306016". The record is from RNAcentral. Lineage: Eukaryota; Metazoa; Chordata; Mammalia; Primates; Hominidae.
AGAGACUGUGCUGUGUUUAUCUUAGGGAGUUGGAGGGACAGGAACUGAGUUCGUGCUAUUUGUGUCUCUACAAUUCUUUGCAGAUAGUGGACGCUGUAUCCUUCACAGUGAUAGAUGCUUAUAAGAUGACUUUUAAAUUGCUUUGAAAAAUAGAGAGAGGAGUGGAAGGGGAAUAUUAUGAAAUUAACCUGUGGUCCUUGAGUCAGAGCAACUGGCAGAAUAGAACAAUGUGCCAUUCACAUCACCCCCUUUCUGGGCUUUUUCUUAGGGCCUGAGCCUCCUCUCAAUUCAUAGGACCUUCUCUUGAGGGUGGAGGAGGAUUGUGGGCAGACAAAGAGAGAACUGACUGGAUAGGGCACCUUCACAAAUGUUUUUCCUGAAGCCUACAGAAUGGCAUUUUUCUGUUUGUGUUGAAGUUGUCCAACCGGUAUUUUCAAAUGAUGGAUUUCUGGAAAAUUGGAGCCUGGAGGGUGACUUUUCAUAAGAUAGGCUCUGAUCUUUGAUCCAUUUAAAAAACUGCAUACUGGUAGGAAGACUGCAUCGCUGCAGCAAGAAAGUAACCUGGCACACAUGGUAAGAAGUUGCUGGGGUGAGUCCAUAUUGUGGCAUUAAUGAUGAAGUUAUAUGGUACAAUUGUGGAAGGAGCAAGGGUGCUGAGGGCUACAUCAGGUCACAGAGAGCAAAUGAAUUAGACACGUAGAGUAUAAAGUGGAAGGCCAGGUUAGUCCAAGUGCAAAUGCUUUCUAAAAUUAGGAAAUAAUCUUGAAAGUACAGUACACCUUGACAUUAGAUGGGAGGUGACAUCCACAGAAUAUUUACAGAUAUCAUUAUGUGGGUCUUUGACUUUGCAACUUCUUAAAUGAUCAAUAUUUAAAUAUUUGGUGAACAAACAUUAUAGCAAAUAAGACUGGAAAAAUUCUCUUUACUUUCAGAUUUUGCAUUAUAGCUAUUUUCCCAGGAGGAUUGAGAGAUGAAUAGAGAGCUUAAGCAAGUCAUCCAGCAUCGGAAUUUAGAGCUUAAAGGGAACACUAGUGUAUGAGCUAAUCCUACCCCCUUUGGAUCGUAGUUGAGAACAAUGAGACUCAAAUGGCUAAAUGGCUUGAGUUAGUGGCCACACUUGGCUCAGGACUCAGCAUUCCUGACUCCAGGUCUAGGCACUGUCCACCUCACCUCCCUGACCUCUGGGUGAAUAGGAGCUCAGCUGGUUUUGGUUCCUCUGAAGCCUUUAAUGGAGCCCUGGCUAUUGCUCUGCUCUGAAAUGUAAUCUCACUGAAUUCCAGUUCCCACACUGUCUAUACAAUGAUGACAGCAUUAAGCGACUUGCUUACCUUGAAGGAGAGUUAAGCAUGGAAAAAGAGAACAUGUCUAAAAUCACAGUGAGAGGCUCACUGCAGGAAGGGCGACAGGCAAUGUGGAGCUAUACUAGUUUUAGUGGUGUGUGGAGAUUAAAUGUAUAGCCUCUGGGCAGGUCACUUCACCUGUUGGUGCCCCAGUUUCCUCAUCAGUGAAAUGGUGCUAAUAAUAGAACCUACCUUAUUGGGUUCUUAUAAGGAUCAAAUGAAUUAAAACACACACACACACACACACACGCACGCACACACACACACCCCUUAGAAGAGUGCCAAGUAUAUAAUAAGCACACAAAAGAACUCUUGCUAGUACUGAUGUGAGUGUGUUAUUACAUAAUGUGUGACGCCAGUCUUGUAUUGCUUCAUGUCCCCAAGCCUUAUCUCCCUAUCAAGGUUAUAAGUUCCUUGAGGUCAAGGACUGUGCUUCUCCUUAUCUCAGGGAGUUGGAGAUACAGGAACUAGGUUAGCUUUUAUCAUAGAAGUCAUAAG